GGCAUCGUAUAAUGGCUAUUACCUCAGCCUUCCAAGCUGAUGAUGCGGGUUCGAUUCCCGCUGCCCGCUCCAAUA
This 75-nucleotide transfer RNA is filed under the name Vibrio cholerae M66-2. RNAcentral's name for it is "tRNA-Gly". It matches the Rfam family "tRNA". Rfam says of the family: Transfer RNA (tRNA) molecules are approximately 80 nucleotides in length. Their secondary structure includes four short double-helical elements and three loops (D, anti-codon, and T loops). Further hydrogen bonds mediate the characteristic L-shaped molecular structure. tRNAs have two regions of fundamental functional importance: the anti-codon, which is responsible for specific mRNA codon recognition, and the 3' end, to which the tRNAs corresponding amino acid is attached (by aminoacyl-tRNA synthetases). tRNAs cope with the degeneracy of the genetic code in two manners: having more than one tRNA (with a specific anti-codon) for a particular amino acid; and 'wobble' base-pairing, i.e. permitting non-standard base-pairing at the 3rd anti-codon position. Lineage: Bacteria; Pseudomonadati; Pseudomonadota; Gammaproteobacteria; Vibrionales; Vibrionaceae. The record is from RNAcentral.